GCUGCGGUGUCCGAGUGGUUAAGGAGUUGAACUCGAAAUCCAAUGGAUUGUAACCGCACAGGUUCGAAUCCUGUCCGUAGCG
This 82-nucleotide transfer RNA is filed under the name Blattella germanica (German cockroach). RNAcentral's name for it is "tRNA-Ser (CGA) (tRNA-Ser-CGA-11-1)". It matches the Rfam family "tRNA". Rfam says of the family: Transfer RNA (tRNA) molecules are approximately 80 nucleotides in length. Their secondary structure includes four short double-helical elements and three loops (D, anti-codon, and T loops). Lineage: Eukaryota; Metazoa; Arthropoda; Insecta; Blattodea; Blattellidae. The record is from RNAcentral.